RNAcentral lists this transfer RNA (62 nucleotides) under Rattus norvegicus (Norway rat). It matches the Rfam family "tRNA", at positions 6 to 65 of the family's 71-position model. Rfam says of the family: Transfer RNA (tRNA) molecules are approximately 80 nucleotides in length. Their secondary structure includes four short double-helical elements and three loops (D, anti-codon, and T loops). The record is from Rfam by way of RNAcentral. Lineage: Eukaryota; Metazoa; Chordata; Mammalia; Rodentia; Muridae.
UGUAGCUCAGUCGGUAGAGUACUUGCCUAGCAUGCAGAAGGUCCUGAGUUCAGUUCUCAGUA